GCCGGGGUGGCGGAAGUGGCAGACGCGCUCGGCCUUCGGGUCGGGCGUUCCCCCAGGGAACGUGAAGGUUCGACACCUUCCCCCGGCACCG
Molecule: transfer RNA, 91 nt
Filed under: Actinomadura harenae
Lineage: Bacteria; Bacillati; Actinomycetota; Actinomycetes; Streptosporangiales; Thermomonosporaceae
Description: Actinomadura sp. NEAU-Ht49 tRNA-OTHER
Source: RNAcentral